UACGAAGGGGGCUAGCGUUGUUCGGAAUCACUGGGCGUAAAGCGCACGUAGGCGGAUCGUUAAGUCGGGGGUGAAAUCCCAGGGCUCAACCCUGGAACUGCCUUCGAUACUGGCGAUCUUCGAGUCCGGGAGAGGUGAGUGGAACUCCGAGUGUAGAGGUGAAAUUCGUAGAUAUUCGGAAGAACACCAGUGGCGAAGGCGGCUCACUGGCCCGGUACUGACGCUGAGGUGCGAAAGCGUGGGGAGCAAACAGG
This 254-nucleotide ribosomal RNA is filed under the name uncultured bacterium. Its description in RNAcentral is "partial 16S ribosomal RNA". It matches the Rfam family "Bacterial small subunit ribosomal RNA", at positions 524 to 776 of the family's 1533-position model. The record is from RNAcentral. RNAcentral also lists the same sequence under 1 other name.